Molecule: ribosomal RNA, 468 nt
Filed under: uncultured bacterium
Lineage: Bacteria
Description: partial 16S ribosomal RNA
Rfam family: Bacterial small subunit ribosomal RNA
Source: RNAcentral
GACGAACGCUGGCGGCGUGCUUAACACAUGCAAGUCGAACGGAAAGGCCCUGCUUUUGUCGGGUGCUCGAGUGGCGAACGGGUGAGUAACACGUGAGUAACCUGCCCUUGACUUUGGGAUAACUUCUGGAAACUGGGGCUAAUACCGGAUAGGAGCUCCUGCUGCAUGGUGGGGGGUGGAAAGUUUCGGCGGUUGGGGAUGGACUCGCGGCUUAUCAGCCUGUUGGUGGGGUAGUGGCUUACCAAGGCCUUGACGGGUAGCCGGCCUGAGAGGGUGACCGGCCACAUUGGGACUGAGAUACGGCCCAGACUCCUACGGGAGGCAGCAGUGGGGAAUAUUGCACAAUGGGCGGAAGCCUGAUGCAGCAACGCCGCGUGAGGGAUGACGGCCUUCGGGUUGUAAACCGCUUUCGGCUGUGACGAAGCGUGAGUGACGGUAAUGGGUAAAGAAGCACCGGCUAACUACGUG